GAUGCACACGUGCUCAGCCUGGGUGAGUUGCUGAGUCUGCUGGUGCGGCUGUUGUCUUAGCAUAAGAAUGCUGCUGUACUGCUGAAGGCUCGAGCCUUGUGAACGCUGAAACUUGGGCGUGUUAAAGGUAGAAGGAAGAAGAAGAGGAGGAGGAGGAGGAGGAGGAGGAAGAAGAAGAAGAAGAAGAAGAAGGAGAAGAAGAAGGAGAAGAAGAAGAAGAAGAAGAAGAAAAAGAAGACAGAAAAACUGUGAUCUGCUGUGGGGAGCAAUGGAAAAGUCUUUCACCUAAAGAGCCAUCAUCUAAUCUCCCACAGAAGGCCUCUCCCAGCCCAGCCAAGGCUGCCCCCAAGACCAAGCUCAAGCCAGCCACCAACAAGUCAAGAGCUCUCCGCUCCGGAACAACUGAAGCUCCCCUCUUUUGUCCCUCUGCCCUGGGCUAGAUCCGGCCCUCGGCCCCCACUCUGUUCCCGGUGUUGCCUGGGUGCCCAAGAGCCUGAGUACCAGAUGGCCUGGCCUUUUUCCGUCCCCCCCACCCCCCGAGCCAGCUCCGGCUGUCCCCACGGCUCAGACUGUGCUUCCCCACUUCCCAAAGUGGUGUCCCUCGGCUUUUCUAUAGCCUGACACCCGCCCAACGAUGGCUUAGGGUAAGUGCGGUCCACUUUCUAUGUCCUGCCUCCCUGAGCAGCGGAGUCUCUGGCAGGACCCCAUUAACCCUGCAAUCCCAUUCCAAGUGGCUUGAUGCUCAGUAUGCUAAGGUCUAAGGGAGUCCCAGAGAGGUUCUGAGUGGCUGCCAGAACUACCAACCUGAGCUUUCUCUGAACAGAUCCACCCAGUCCCAUCAGGGGGGAGUCUGUCUCCAGUCCUACAGACAAGAGGCCCUGGGGCACCUGAACAGCUUCCCUGUUUCCAGAAUUGAAGGGUGAUUUAAGGUGGAACCAAACCUCUAGAACUUUGUUUUCUUGUUUGUUUGUUUGUUUUGUUUCGUUUUUGUUUUAAUAUAUAAGGUGUCUCUUUGU
Long non-coding RNA from Mus musculus (house mouse), 1016 nucleotides. RefSeq annotates it as RIKEN cDNA 5430440P10 gene. The transcript is spliced from 3 exons. Lineage: Eukaryota; Metazoa; Chordata; Mammalia; Rodentia; Muridae. The record is from RefSeq and is marked validated.